CGGAGGAGGCGGCGGAGGAGGCGGAGGAGGCGGCGGAGGAGGGCGCGCUGACCCCCUGCAGGAUGCCCGCGCUCACGAUGUUGAUGAUGCCCUCGGGGUAGCAGCCGGCGCCGGGGUACUGCGGGUCGAUGGAGAAUUUGCCCAUGAAAGCAACUCUCACACGAUCUGUAGUGCGCAAGGCCCCUGUUCAGUGGCAUACAGGGGGAAAGAAAAAUCGACAACCCAAGCAGCAGCAAGACACGGUGACAUCUGAGAGAUGCUUCAAAAGCACACUCCUGCUCCAAAGCAACAAACCAGCAUACUCAGGAAGGCUACAAAAUCCUCAUCUUUCAGUUUUAACUCUAGAUAUCAACAUUUACAGGUUUUAGGACAUUAGGGCACGUGCCACGUGGACUUACCUCUGUGUUGGGUCCCAAAUGCUGUCAGGUCGCGUCUCGCAGGCUCCUCUCCACCCGUGCAACACCUUACACCAGCUGAGAAAGGCUCUCCCAGUUGCUCAGUUUUUGUUUCACUGCUCCUCCAGUCAGCACAGAACCCAGGCUAGACAGGAGCAUACCUAAAAAAGUAAAAGCGUCAGGGGCAUUUGUCAUGCUUUCUAAGGAAUAGUAGGCAUAAAUCUAGAUAUUUUCCCUUACGGGUGAUCUGGGAAGCGCGUGCAGUAAUUAGGAAAUAUAUAUAUAUAUAUAUAAUAUAUAAUAUAUACACUUAGUGUUUUUUAACAUAUAGUAAGAUUUUUUUUUUACCAAUUCUUUCUAGCACUUAAUGUACAGCCAAUACAGUUUGGCAGGUGAGACUGAGUUGAAAGAAAGCUCGUGUUCAAUUUCAGUAGGAUCCUAGAUAUUUUGGUUUAAAAAAAAAAAAUCUCAAUUUAAAAGUUAAAUUGUGACAGAGAGACAGAGAGAGAGACAGGUUCUGGGAAAUUUGACUGAGAAGUAGGAGCAAUUGUAUUGUACCUUUCCAUUACAGCGGAGCUAUAAUUGGUCUCAUCACUACUAUGAAAGAACAAAAUAUUGGAAUCUGUUGUGCAGUGGGGCAAGUUACUUUACAUGAAUUUGAGAAACAGGUAACUCUGAGAGUAUCCUCCUUACUAAAAAACAUUGUGCACGUGUCGGAUACGGGUUUAAGUGAUAUUCGACAGCAUCUUCCUAUAUUAUUUUAAAAUACCACGUGCCCACUGAUGACACUAAAUCAUAAAGCACACGAGAGAGAGAAGAACCAGAGUUUCACAUCCCCAUAUCUCAACUCCACCUUUGAACCAACUCAGCAAAUUUAACACUCUUCCGCUGUGGCAAAGGAUUCCAUGAAAGACUGACACGAAUACAAUUUAACAGACCUCCUGGCUAACUUCACAUAAGGAAUACUGCUGUUAUUUGACUUUGUUGGUUCAUUUUAAAAGCCUUCUUAAGGAUGGGGUAAAUUGUGCCUGAUUUCCAGCCUCUACGCAGACAACCAAGACACACUCAAUAGGAGCUUUGUCUGAAGGGCGGCAGGAUCUGGUGCAGGGCAAGAUGGAAACAUAGUUAAUGCUUGGUCUUCAGGAAGACGUUGACAGAUGAAACUUGAAUGGUUCUGGUCCCUUUUCAGAUAUUCGUGCUGUAGAGCUCUGCAUGUGUUUUGUGCCUUUGAUCCUCAUUUGGCUGAUUAAACUAGCAUCCAGGGUUA
Molecule: long non-coding RNA, 1662 nt
Organism: Cygnus atratus (black swan)
Lineage: Eukaryota; Metazoa; Chordata; Aves; Anseriformes; Anatidae
Exons: 2
Source: RefSeq, a predicted model, not a curated record